AUUAUAAUAGCUCAAAUGGUUAGAGCAUUGGACUGAAAAUCCUUAGGUGGUAGUUCAAUUCUACCUUAUAAUA
RNAcentral lists this transfer RNA (73 nucleotides) under Gefionella okellyi. RNAcentral describes it as "tRNA-Phe". It matches the Rfam family "tRNA". From Rfam's summary of the family: Transfer RNA (tRNA) molecules are approximately 80 nucleotides in length. Their secondary structure includes four short double-helical elements and three loops (D, anti-codon, and T loops). Further hydrogen bonds mediate the characteristic L-shaped molecular structure. tRNAs have two regions of fundamental functional importance: the anti-codon, which is responsible for specific mRNA codon recognition, and the 3' end, to which the tRNAs corresponding amino acid is attached (by aminoacyl-tRNA synthetases). tRNAs cope with the degeneracy of the genetic code in two manners: having more than one tRNA (with a specific anti-codon) for a particular amino acid; and 'wobble' base-pairing, i.e. permitting non-standard base-pairing at the 3rd anti-codon position. The record is from RNAcentral. Lineage: Eukaryota; Malawimonada; Malawimonadea; Malawimonadida; Malawimonadidae.